AUUGAACGCUGGCGGCAUGCUUUACACAUGCAAGUCGAACGGUAACAGGGUGCUUGCACCGCUGACGAGUGGCGAACGGGUGAGUAAUGCAUCGGAAUGUACCGUGUAAUGGGGGAUAGCUCGGCGAAAGCCGGAUUAAUACCGCAUACGCCCUGAGGGGGAAAGUGGGGGACCGAAAGGCCUCACGUUAUACGAGCAGCCGAUGUCUGAUUAGCUAGUUGGUGAGGUAAAGGCUCGCCAAGGCGUCGAUCAGUAGCGGGUCUGAGAGGAUGAUCCGCCACACUGGGACUGAGACACGGCCCAGACUCCUACGGGAGGCAGCAGUGGGGAAUUUUGGACAAAGGGCGCAAGCCUGAUCCAGCCAUGCCGCGUGUCUGAAGAAGGCCUUCGGGUUGUAAAGGACUUUUGUCCGGGAGCAAAUCCUAGUGGUUAAUACCUACUGGGGCUGAGAGUACCGGAAGAAUAAGCACCGGCUAACUACGUG
Molecule: ribosomal RNA, 484 nt
Filed under: uncultured bacterium
Lineage: Bacteria
Description: partial 16S ribosomal RNA
Rfam family: Bacterial small subunit ribosomal RNA
Source: RNAcentral